This 282-nucleotide ribosomal RNA is filed under the name Fusicatenibacter saccharivorans. Its description in RNAcentral is "partial 16S ribosomal RNA". It matches the Rfam family "Bacterial small subunit ribosomal RNA", at positions 495 to 776 of the family's 1533-position model. Lineage: Bacteria; Bacillati; Bacillota; Clostridia; Lachnospirales; Lachnospiraceae. The record is from RNAcentral.
UAGGCAUUGUGUGCCAGCAGCCGCGGUCAUACGUAGGGGGCAAGCGUUAUCCGGAUUUACUGGGUGUAAAGGGAGCGUAGACGGCAAGGCAAGUCUGAUGUGAAAACCCAGGGCUUAACCCUGGGACUGCAUUGGAAACUGUCUGGCUCGAGUGCCGGAGAGGUAAGCGGAAUUCCUAGUGUAGCGGUGAAAUGCGUAGAUAUUAGGAAGAACACCAGUGGCGAAGGCGGCUUACUGGACGGUAACUGACGUUGAGGCUCGAAAGCGUGGGGAGCAAACAGG